UGGGGAAUAUUGCACAAUGGGCGCAAGCCUGAUGCAGCCAUGCCGCGUGUGUGAAGAAGGCCUUCGGGUUGUAAAGCACUUUCAGUCGGGAGGAAGGUGGUAAGGUUAAUAACCUUGGCAAUUGACGUUACCGACAGAAGAAGCACCGGCUAACUCCGUGCCAGCAGCCGCGGUAAUACGGAGGGUGCAAGCGUUAAUCGGAAUUACUGGGCGUAAAGCGCACGCAGGCGGUUGAUUGAGUCAGAUGUGAAAUCCCCGGGCUCAACCUGGGAACUGCAUUCGAAACUGGCAGGCUAGAGUCUUGUAGAGGGGGGUAGAAUUCCAGGUGUAGCGGUGAAAUGCGUAGAGAUCUGGAGGAAUACCGGUGGCGAAGGCGGCCCCCUGGACAAAGACUGACGCUCAGGUGCGAAAGCGUGGGGAGCAAACAGG
This 429-nucleotide ribosomal RNA is filed under the name Chloroflexota bacterium. RNAcentral describes it as "Chloroflexi bacterium partial 16S ribosomal RNA". It matches the Rfam family "Bacterial small subunit ribosomal RNA", at positions 355 to 776 of the family's 1533-position model. Lineage: Bacteria; Bacillati; Chloroflexota. The record is from RNAcentral.